GCUCAUGUGGUGUAGUGGUGAGCACUGUGGACUUUGAAUCCACCGACCUGAGUUCGAAUCUCAGCAUGAGCU
Molecule: transfer RNA, 72 nt
Organism: Volvox carteri f. nagariensis
Lineage: Eukaryota; Viridiplantae; Chlorophyta; Chlorophyceae; Chlamydomonadales; Volvocaceae
Rfam family: tRNA
About the family: Transfer RNA (tRNA) molecules are approximately 80 nucleotides in length. Their secondary structure includes four short double-helical elements and three loops (D, anti-codon, and T loops).
Source: Rfam